Molecule: non-coding RNA, 69 nt
Organism: Perkinsus marinus ATCC 50983
Lineage: Eukaryota; Perkinsozoa; Perkinsida; Perkinsidae
Source: Rfam
GGCCCUGUGGCGCAACGGUAGCGCAUCUGACAGAUCAGAAGGUCGUCCGUUCGAAUCGGGGCGGGGUCA